UACAGAGGUCCCGAGCGUUGUUCGGAUUCAUUGGGCGUAAAGGGUACGUAGGCGGUCUUCUAAGUUUGAUGUGAAAUCCCGGGGCUCAACCCUGGAAUUGCAUUGAAUACUGGAGGACUAGAGUACCGGAGAGGAAACUGGAAUUUACGGUGUAGCAGUGAAAUGCGUAGAGAUCGUAAGGAAGACCAGUGGCGAAGGCGAGUCUCUGGACAGCAACUGACGCUGAGGCACGAAGGCCAGGGGGGCAAACGGG
RNAcentral lists this ribosomal RNA (253 nucleotides) under uncultured bacterium. Its description in RNAcentral is "partial 16S ribosomal RNA". It matches the Rfam family "Bacterial small subunit ribosomal RNA", at positions 524 to 776 of the family's 1533-position model. The record is from RNAcentral.